Molecule: long non-coding RNA, 200 nt
Filed under: Elaeis guineensis (African oil palm)
Lineage: Eukaryota; Viridiplantae; Streptophyta; Magnoliopsida; Arecales; Arecaceae
Description: long non-coding RNA (EGUI_LNC031995)
Source: RNAcentral
AGAGAGGAAUAAAGAAAGAAGAGAGAGAAAAAAUGAGAGAGAGAGAAAGAAGAGAUAGAAAGACUCUCUUCUUCUCUAAAUAAGAAAGAUCUCAUCUCUCCCUUUUUUCAAGUCAUGGUCAAGACCAAUAAGUGAGGGAUAGUAGCAAUCUAGAGUGACAACUAGCCAUAGCAUUUGGUGAUGGUGAUAGGCUGGUGGGG